This 460-nucleotide ribosomal RNA is filed under the name uncultured bacterium. RNAcentral describes it as "partial 16S ribosomal RNA". It matches the Rfam family "Bacterial small subunit ribosomal RNA", at positions 338 to 795 of the family's 1533-position model. The record is from RNAcentral.
CCUACGGGAGGCAGCAGUGAGGAAUAUUGGUCAAUGGACGAGAGUCUGAACCAGCAAAGCAGCGUGAAGGAUGACUGUCCUAUGGGUUGUAAACUUCUUUUAUAUGGGAAUAAAAUGUUCCACGUGUGGGAUUAUGUAUGUACCAUAUGAAUAAGCCUCGGCUAACUCCGUGCCAGCAGCCGCGGUAAUACGGAGGAUUCGAGCGUUAUCCGGAUUUAUUGGGUUUAAAGGGAGCGUAGGUGGAUUGUUAAGUGAGUUGUGAAAGUUGGCGGCUCAACCGUAAAAUUGCAGUUGAAACUGGCAGUCUUGAGUACAGGAGAGGUGGGCGGAAUGCGUGGUGUAGCGGUGAAAUGCUUAGAUAUCACGAAGAACUCCGAUUGCGAAGGCAGCUCGCUGGACUGCAACUGACGUUGAGGCCCGAAAGCGUGGGGAGCAAACAGGAUUAGAUACCCCUGUAGUC